GUCAGAAUAAUUACCAUUAUACAUUUUUUUUUUAUUCAUUUUUUCCAUCUAAAAAAUCAGCCUUUCGCAUGCUUAGUUAAUGCCUUUACCUAAUUUGCAUACUGCUGAUAUAUGCAAAUUAGACAAAGGCAUUAAUUACGCAUGCAAGUAGUUAAAGGGCUUAAACUAAAGCAAAUUGUCUGACAUUUUGUACAGUAAUUAAAAACCCGACGCAUUUUCCAUCUAUUAACUCAAAAUAUGAUUAAAGCUUUUAAAUUUCGUGCUCAAGCCAAUUUUAGUUUGUUGGAAAAGACACCCCCGUCCCGGUCACAAAAUUUGAGGUCGAGAAAUUUUUUUCCAUUAUUCUACAUUAUAAGUAGCCAAAGAAGCCAUAUAUGUAAAAAAAACCUGGAUACUGAUAGCUGUUUUGCGAAAUUGAGAGCAAAUUCAAAUCUGUUCAGGUUUUUUUAUACACCCUGUAUAUCUAUACAAACACGUUCAGCUCAAUACAGUCGGCCUUUCUAAUUAUUAGACUUUUCAUUGUCACUCUCCUCCGCAGAUGCUUUGUAGUUUGUUUUCUUUGUUUUUUAUUCACCC
Non-coding RNA from Paramuricea clavata, 576 nucleotides. The record is from the annotation of a GenBank genome assembly. NCBI's taxonomy places the organism in Eukaryota, Metazoa, Cnidaria, Anthozoa, Malacalcyonacea, Plexauridae.